AGAGUUUGAUCCUGGCUCAGGACGAACGCUGGCGGCGUGCUUAACACAUGCAAGUGGAGCGACGAACCGGGGCUUGCCCCGGGGCAGAGCCGCGAACGGGUGAGUAACACGUGGGUAACCCACCCCGAUGAUUGGGACAACCCCGGGAAACCGGGGCUAAUACCAAAUGUGCCCGCGGUCCAUGAGGACCACGAGUAAAGAUAGCUUCGGCCUUCGCAUCGGGACGGGCCCGCGGCCCAUUAGCUUGUUGGUGAGGUAACGGCUCACCAAGGCGACGAUGGGUAGCUGGUCUGAGAGGACGAUCAGCCACACUGGGACUGAGACACGGCCCAGACUCCUACGGGAGGCAGCAGUGGGGAAUCUUGCGCAAUGCGCGAAAGCGUGACGCAGCAACGCCGCGUGGGGGAAGAAGGCCUUCGGGUUGUAAACCCCUUACAGUUGGGACGAAGCUUCAGCGGUGAAUAGCCGUAUGGAGUGACGGUACCUUCACAAGAAGCCCCGGCUAACUACGUGCCAGCAGCCGCGGUAAUACGUAGGGGGCUAGCGUUGUCCGGAAUCAUUGAGCGUAAGAGCGUGUAUGCGGCCCGUAGUCGCUGUGACAGUCGGGGCUCACCCUCGAAGCGGUGAUACUGUCGGCUAGAGUGCGGAGGAGCGAGUGGAUUUCCUGGUGUAGCGGUGAAAUGCGCCGAUAUCGAGAGGAACAGCAAUUUGCGAAGGCAGCUCGCUGGGACGUACNGACGCUGAAACCNAAGCGUGGGAUCAACGGAUGAUACCUGUAGUAUGCAAAUCCGCCCUGCGCG
This 800-nucleotide ribosomal RNA is filed under the name uncultured bacterium. RNAcentral describes it as "bacterial SSU rRNA". It matches the Rfam family "Bacterial small subunit ribosomal RNA", at positions 9 to 873 of the family's 1533-position model. The record is from RNAcentral.